This 1999-nucleotide long non-coding RNA is filed under the name Homo sapiens (human). RNAcentral's name for it is "non-protein coding lnc-GMDS-15:1". The record is from RNAcentral. Lineage: Eukaryota; Metazoa; Chordata; Mammalia; Primates; Hominidae.
UAGUCAGUCCUGAAGGGGUGUGCAGCUGUCACUAGGUUUACAUCCUCCGUCUUAACAUUGCCCACCCAAAACUGUGCCAGGUCUCAGCUAACUCCUGUCCGAGAACACUUCUCCCCAGUUGUGGCUAAUUCCUCCCUAAGUAAGAGUCAGGCUCUGAGAGAGAUGUGCCCUCGGGAGCAAUCACUUCCAAUGAGACCCGACAGUUAGUUAUUGGAUUACACGUGCAGGGAAAUGUAGUCCGACCAGGGAUAGGAGCUGGGAGAGGGAGGAGGAGAGCAGGAGGCCGGAGCUGGCGGGGCCUCCCAAGGGCUGAAGGGGGAGGCCCAGAAAGAAGGUGCUGCAGACCAGCGGACCAAACAGGAGGUAGAGCUGGGCACCCCGCUGCGUCUAGGCUGAAAGGACCGAGGUGCACGGGUGUGCCUGCUGGGGAGCCUGGGGAGUUGCAGGAGGCAGGAGAAAGGGAGGUUGUGCAGUAAUCAGGAGGAAGACACCAGGCAAAGAGCCUUCACAGCCGCACAGCCUAGGCAGGCCCCCUGGGGCGGCAGGAGCCCUGUGUGCCCCUGGAGUGCCGGGGGACUGCUCCUGGCUGAGUGUGCUGGUGGGGCUGUAGAUGCAGAGAGGGCGGGUGGGGAGGGGAGGGGUAUGUGGGAGGGGGGUGGGCCGGGGCUGGCCCCAGACAGUGACCUGAGGUUGAGUGGAAGCAGGCUUUUUCCAUCAAACCCUGCCUGGAUACCACACACAGAGACCGAGUGUCAGUUUACUGCCCUGAGCCGGCUCCUUCUCCCUAAGCUCCACAGUAAUUAGACAAAGAAAACCUAAAUUAGCUGAACAGGCGUCGACAGCUUCCUCCAGAGCACCCCUGGUACCUACAUGGGAAUGUGUCCGAAAAUGGCUUGAUUGUAGCCGAGAGUCAGCUAAGAAAACACCGCCAAACCGAACUCAGUUUACCACUCAUUUCCAAUAGAAAAAAGAAACAAGUCGCUCUUUUCCGGGUGGGAUGUUUUGAUUGGGUUGGGGUAGGGCUUCGCAGUUGUUUCCACUUUCUAAGAAUUUCUGACUGACUGCUGAGCGUUUUUGGGGGGUGCGUCCCCAUAUAUUUCAUGGUAUUUUUUUCUCUUGCCCUCAUUUGUCAUUUUGUGUGGAAUAACUUAAAAAUACAUAACUAAAUAUGAAAGUAAAUAUAAUGUGUUCACUAAACCAAUGCUCUAAGUGCCUAAAAUAUAAUUAUUUUCAUAAAAUAGAAGCUGGAGUGGGGAGGACAGAUAGGAUCUUAAAGGAGCUCUACUGACAUAGAGUUCAGUGUGUGUGUGUGUGUGUGUGUGUGUGUGUGUGUGCUUUAAAUGGAAAGAGCCCAGGGGAGAAGCUUGUGGGGGAAAAGGACAAUUAUCUCAUUUGUAGGUGGGGGCGGUGGGCAACGGGCUUUGGAAACAUUCAGUACUCAUUGUCACUUAGCCAUGGACUCUCUCUGAUUCUCUGUGCCUGAAAAUUAUAUGUAUUUGGAUCUCAGGGAAUACAGAUCCAACUUGUUAAGAGCAGGCCUUAAAAGGUUUUAGGACCCGGAGACUGAAGAAUAAAAGGCGCUAACCUUAAAAUCCAGGCAGGACCAGUGAUAACCUUCUAUACUAGUAGCUCCCAGUUUUGGGGUUAUGGGGUCAUCCUCUGAGAAUACGAUGGAAGCUAUGGAGCCAGUUUCCAGAAAAAUACUUCCAACUUGCCUGAGAUUUUAGGAAGUCCACAGGUACUCAUUAAAACAAACAAGGAAACAAGCAAAAAACCCCAGAUUCUUUUAGCUUCUACCAAUUCAGCUGGUUAAAUUAUGAGGGAUUUUUUUAAAAGGCUCCUUUCUCCAUCCAAGCAACAGCAGUAUCCAUUUUACCUAAACUCUAAACUUGCAAGAAAUCCCACUUAGAGUGUGGUGAGUGUUAUGAGGGCCGGCCAGGUCGUGGGAAGGCAGUGGACAUUGGAGAGCAGUUAGGGCCAGGAGGCGGUCAGCUGACUG